CAACAAGACGCACCAGCAAGCGAAGAGCUAAUUCUCUGGAUGAACAUUCUCUAGAUAGAGCAUAAAGAUUGACGGCUAUGCGAAAUCUGGAUGUGCCAAAAGGGCCACACACUUGGUAAGGACGUGGGCGAUACUUCACAAGGAGGAUCGGGACACCAUCUCAGCAGCGUGUCGGGCCUUGGAAUCAACCGCUAUGGAGAUCUUUGCGAGGCAUGGGUGACAGUUUAGAAAUAGGCUUUGCUUUUAAAAUUGUUUCCCUUCCUUCUUUAGAUCUGAUGGUGUUUACUUUGUAAUAAGGGUUACAUAUAACUUGCGUUAUAGAGGCCGGAAUAUGACUAUUCCUUUAUCUAAAAAAGUUAACCUACCUCCCAGGGAAGAGAA
This is a long non-coding RNA of Panicum virgatum (switchgrass), 381 nucleotides long. RefSeq lists it as uncharacterized. The transcript is spliced from 2 exons. NCBI's taxonomy places the organism in Eukaryota, Viridiplantae, Streptophyta, Magnoliopsida, Poales, Poaceae. The record is from RefSeq and is a predicted model, not a curated record.